This 71-nucleotide transfer RNA is filed under the name archaeon. RNAcentral's name for it is "tRNA-Trp". It matches the Rfam family "tRNA". From Rfam's summary of the family: Transfer RNA (tRNA) molecules are approximately 80 nucleotides in length. The record is from RNAcentral.
GGGGUCGUAGGAUAACGGCAUUCUAUCUGGCUCCAGACCAGAGGAUCCGAGUUCGAGUCUCGGCGACCCCA